This 253-nucleotide ribosomal RNA is filed under the name uncultured bacterium. RNAcentral describes it as "partial 16S ribosomal RNA". It matches the Rfam family "Bacterial small subunit ribosomal RNA", at positions 524 to 776 of the family's 1533-position model. The record is from RNAcentral.
UACGUAGGUGGCAAGCGUUGUCCGGAUUUAUUGGGUUUAAAGGGUGCGUAGGCGGCUUUGUAAGUCAGUGGUGAAAUAUGGCAGCUCAACUGUCAAGGUGCCAUUGAUACUGCGGAGCUUGAGUACAGAUGAGGUAGGCGGGAUUGACGGUGUAGCGGUGAAAUGCUUAGAUAUCGUCAAGAACACCUAUAGCGAAGGCAGCUUACUAGGCUGUAACUGACGCUGAGGCACGAAAGUGUGGGGAUCAAACAGG